AAACCUCAACCUCCUUGGUUUCUUCUGGAGACCGAAGCAGGCUUGGAAUUUGGAGGCCUUUGCUGGCACCUCUGCCAGCUCCUCUCAAACAAAUUAGCAGGGUCCUCUUUGCCGAUCCUUGACGUGUGAUAAGAUGUUUCCAUGUCUUGGUUUCUGGCUCUGUCACUUUUGGGACCUGCUUCUAACCGUCUGGACCUUGUGUCGAGACAAAGUUUCGAGCAUGUGCAACCCCUUCUCGGGGAAGCUCUCCUCGACCCCACGAAC
Molecule: unclassified non-coding RNA, 264 nt
Filed under: uncultured Lactarius
Lineage: Eukaryota; Fungi; Basidiomycota; Agaricomycetes; Russulales; Russulaceae
Description: sequence contains ITS2
Source: RNAcentral